AUUUAAGUAAUUUAAUAUAAAAUAUUGAUUUGUGGUGUCAAAUAUGUAAGUGCUUACCUUAAAUU
RNAcentral lists this transfer RNA (65 nucleotides) under Nebrioporus cooperi. Its description in RNAcentral is "tRNA-His". Lineage: Eukaryota; Metazoa; Arthropoda; Insecta; Coleoptera; Dytiscidae. The record is from RNAcentral.